This 79-nucleotide transfer RNA is filed under the name Caudoviricetes sp. Its description in RNAcentral is "tRNA-Leu". Lineage: Duplodnaviria; Heunggongvirae; Uroviricota; Caudoviricetes. The record is from RNAcentral.
GCUAUUUAAUGCAAAAAAGAGGGGACUUAAAAUCCCGUGGGUAGAAAUACCCGUACCGGUUCGAUUCCGGUCUGCGGCA